This 468-nucleotide ribosomal RNA is filed under the name uncultured bacterium. RNAcentral describes it as "partial 16S ribosomal RNA". It matches the Rfam family "Bacterial small subunit ribosomal RNA", at positions 28 to 507 of the family's 1533-position model. The record is from RNAcentral.
GAUGAACGCUGGCGGCGUGCUUAACACAUGCAAGUCGAACGGAAAGGCCCAAGCUUGCUUGGGUACUCGAGUGGCGAACGGGUGAGUAACACAUGGGUGAUCUGCCCUGCACUUCGGGAUAAGCCUGGGAAACUGGGUCUAAUACCGGAUAGGACGAUGGUUUGGAUGCCAUUGUGGAAAGUUUUUUCGGUGUGGGAUGAGCUCGCGGCCUAUCAGCUUGUUGGUGGGGUAAUGGCCUACCAAGGCGUCGACGGGUAGCCGGCCUGAGAGGGUGUACGGCCACAUUGGGACUGAGAUACGGGCCAGACUCCUACGGGAGGCAGCAGUGGGGAAUAUUGCACAAUGGGCGCAAGCCUGAUGCAGCGACGCCGCGUGGGGGAUGACGGCCUUCGGGUUGUAAACUCCUUUCGCUAGGGACGAAGCGUUUUUGUGACGGUACCUGGAGAAGAAGCACCGGCUAACUACGUG